This is a small nuclear RNA of Cricetulus griseus (Chinese hamster), 107 nucleotides long. Lineage: Eukaryota; Metazoa; Chordata; Mammalia; Rodentia; Cricetidae. The record is from Ensembl.
GUGUUCGCUUCGGCAGCACAUAUACUAAAAUUGGAAUGAUACAGAGAAGAUUAGCAUGGCCUCUGCGCAAGGAUGACACGCAAAUUUAUGAAGUGUUCCAUAUUUUU